GACGCUGGCGGCACGCUUAACACAUGCAAGUCGAACGAGAUCUUCGGAUCUAGUGGCAGACGGGUGAGUAACGCGUGGGAACCUGCCCUUUAGUAGAGAACAACUUGAGGAAACUUGAGCUAAUACUUUAUACGCCCUUUGGGGGAAAGCUUUAUGCGCUAUUGGAUGGGCCCGCGUUAGAUUAGUUUGUUGGUGAGGUAACGGCUCACCAAGACUUCGAUCUAUAGCUGGUCUGAGAGGAUGAUCAGCCACACUGGGACUGAGACACGGCCCAGACUCCUACGGGAGGCAGCAGUGGGGAAUAUUGGACAAUGGGGGCAACCCUGAUCCAGCGAUGCCGCGUGAGUGAUGAAGGCCUUAGGGUUGUAAAGCUCUUUCGUCAGGGAAGAUAAUGACGGUACCUGAAGAAGAAGAUCCGGCUAACUCCGUGCCAGCAGCCGCGGUAAUACGGAGGGAUCUAGCGUUAUUCGGAAUUACUGGGCGUAAAGCGAGCGUAGGCGGAUUUGUAAGUUGGAGGUGAAAUCCCAGAGCUUAACUCUGGAACUGCCUUCAAAACUACAUUUCUUGAGUUUGGUAGAGGAGAGUGGAAUUCCUAGUGUAGAGGUGAAAUUCGUAGAUAUUAGGAGGAACACCAGUGGCGAAGGCGACUCUCUGGGCCAAUACUGACGCUGAGGUUCGAAAGCAUGGGUAGCGAACAGGAUUAGAUACCCUGGUAGUCCAUGCAGUAAACGAUGAGUGCUAGAUGUUGGGAAUUUUGAUUCUCAGUAUCGCAGUUAACGCGUUAAGCACUCCGCCU
RNAcentral lists this ribosomal RNA (796 nucleotides) under uncultured Alphaproteobacteria bacterium. RNAcentral describes it as "bacterial SSU rRNA". It matches the Rfam family "Bacterial small subunit ribosomal RNA", at positions 32 to 874 of the family's 1533-position model. The record is from RNAcentral. Lineage: Bacteria; Pseudomonadati; Pseudomonadota; Alphaproteobacteria.